RNAcentral lists this ribosomal RNA (1359 nucleotides) under uncultured bacterium. RNAcentral describes it as "bacterial SSU rRNA". It matches the Rfam family "Bacterial small subunit ribosomal RNA", at positions 28 to 1381 of the family's 1533-position model. The record is from RNAcentral.
GAUGAACGCUAGCUACAGGCUUAACACAUGCAAGUCGAGGGGCAGCAUUUCAGUUUGCUUGCAAACUGGAGAUGGCGACCGGCGCACGGGUGAGUAACACGUAUCCAACCUGCCGAUAACUCGGGGAUAGCCUUUCGAAAGAAAGAUUAAUACCCGAUGGUAUAAUCAGACCGCAUGGUCUUGUUAUUAAAGAAUUUCGGUUAUCGAUGGGGAUGCGUUCCAUUAGGCAGUUGGUGAGGUAACGGCUCACCAAACCUUCGAUGGAUAGGGGUUCUGAGAGGAAGGUCCCCCACAUUGGAACUGAGACACGGUCCAAACUCCUACGGGAGGCAGCAGUGAGGAAUAUUGGUCAAUGGGCGCAGGCCUGAACCAGCCAAGUAGCGUGAAGGAUGACUGCCCUAUGGGUUGUAAACUUCUUUUAUAUGGGAAUAAAGUUUUCCACGUGUGGAAUUUUGUAUGUACCAUAUGAAUAAGGAUCGGCUAACUCCGUGCCAGCAGCCGCGGUAAUACGGAGGAUCCGAGCGUUAUCCGGAUUUAUUGGGUUUAAAGGGAGCGUAGGUGGACAGUUAAGUCAGUUGUGAAAGUUUGCGGCUCAACCGUAAAAUUGCAGUUGAUACUGGCUGUCUUGAGUACAGUAGAGGUGGGCGGAAUUCGUGGUGUAGCGGUGAAAUGCUUAGAAAUCACGAAGAACUCCGAUUGCGAAGGCAGCUCACUGGACUGCAACUGACACUGAUGCUCGAAAGUGUGGGUAUCAAACAGGAUUAGAUACCCUGGUAGUCCACACAGUAAACGAUGAAUACUCGCUGUUUGCGAUAUACAGUAAGCGGCCAAGCGAAAGCAUUAAGUAUUCCACCUGGGGAGUACGCCGGCAACGGUGAAACUCAAAGGAAUUGACGGGGGCCCGCACAAGCGGAGGAACAUGUGGUUUAAUUCGAUGAUACGCGAGGAACCUUACCCGGGCUUAAAUUGCAUUUGAAUAUAUUGGAAACAGUAUAGCCGUAAGGUAAAUGUGAAGGUGCUGCAUGGUUGUCGUCAGCUCGUGCCGUGAGGUGUCGGCUUAAGUGCCAUAACGAGCGCAACCCUUAUCUUUAGUUACUAACAGGUCAUGCUGAGGACUCUAGAGAGACUGCCGUCGUAAGAUGUGAGGAAGGUGGGGAUGACGUCAAAUCAGCACGGCCCUUACGUCCGGGGCUACACACGUGUUACAAUGGGGGGUACAGAAGGCAGCUACCUGGUGACAGGAUGCUAAUCCCAAAAGCCUCUCUCAGUUCGGAUCGAAGUCUGCAACCCGACUUCGUGAAGCUGGAUUCGCUAGUAAUCGCGCAUCAGCCAUGGCGCGGUGAAUACGUUCCCGGGCCU